UCCUGGAUCCACUCCGUCCACCUG
RNAcentral lists this microRNA (24 nucleotides) under Equus caballus (horse). RNAcentral's name for it is "eca-miR-9146". Lineage: Eukaryota; Metazoa; Chordata; Mammalia; Perissodactyla; Equidae. The record is from miRBase by way of RNAcentral.